Molecule: ribosomal RNA, 382 nt
Filed under: uncultured bacterium
Lineage: Bacteria
Description: bacterial SSU rRNA
Rfam family: Bacterial small subunit ribosomal RNA
Source: RNAcentral
GACGAACGCUGGCGGCGUGCUUAACACAUGCAAGUCGAGCGGUAAGGCCCUUUCGGGGGUACACGAGCGGCGAACGGGUGAGUAACACGUGGGUGACCUGCCCUUAGCUCUGGGAUAAGCCUGGGAAACUGGGUCUAAUACCGGAUAUGACUCCAUGACGCAUGUUGUGGGGCGGAAAGCCUUGUGCGGCUAGGGAUGGGCCUGCGGCCUAUCAGCUUGUUGGUGGGGUGAUGGCCUACCAAGGCGACGACGGGUAGCCGGCCUGAGAGGGCGACCGGCCACACUGGGACUGAGACACGGCCCAGACUCCUACGGGAGGCAGCAGGUGGGGAAUCUUGCGCAAUGGGCGAAAGCCUGACGCAGCGACGCCGCGUGGGGAUGA